CUGCGAAUGGCUCAUUAUAUAAGUUAUCGUUUAUUUGAUAGUACCUUACUACUUGGAUAACCGUGGUAAUUCUAGAGCUAAUACAUGCUAAAAAUCCCGACUUCGGAAGGGAUGUAUUUAUUAGAUACAAAACCAAUGCCCCUCGGGGCUCUCUGGUGAUUCAUGAUAACUCGUCGAAUCGCACGGCCUUGCGCCGGCGAUGGUUCAUUCAAAUUUCUUCCCUAUCAACUUUCGAUGUUUGGGUAGUGGCCAAACAUGGUGGCAACGGGUAACGGAGGGUUAGGGCUCGACCCCGGAGAAGGAGCCUGAGAAACGGCUACUACAUCCAAGGAAGGCAGCAGGCGCGCAAAUUACCCAAUCCCGAUACGGGGAGGUAGUGACAAUAAAUACUGAUACAGGGCUCUUUUGGGUCUUGUAAUUGGAAUGAGUACAAUUUAAAUCCCUUAACGAGGAACAAUUGGAGGGCAAGUCUGGUGCCAGCAGCCGCGGUAAUUCCAGCUCCAAUAGCGUAUAUUAAAGUUGUUGUGGUUAAAAAGCUCGUAGUUGAAUCUUGGGCCUGGCUGGCCGGUCCGCCUCACCGCGUGUACUGGUCCGGCCGGGUCUUUCACUCUGCGGAACCACAUGCCCUUCAGUGGGCGUGGCGGGGAAGCAGGACGUUUACUUUGAAAAAAUUAGAGUGCUCUAAGCAGGCCAAUGCUCGGAUACAUUAGCAUGGAAUAAUAAAAUAGGACGCGCGGUUCUAUUUUGUUGGUUUCUAGGACCGCCGUAAUGAUGAAUAGGGACAGUCGGGGGCAUCAGUAUUCAGUUGUCAGAGGUGAAAUUCUUGGAUCUACUGAAGACUAACUACUGCGAAAGCAUUUGCCAAGGAUGUUUUCAUUAAUCAGGAACGAAAGUUAGGGNAUCGAAGACGAUCAGAUACCGUCGUAGUCUUAACCAUAAACUAUGCCGACUAGGGAUCGGACGAUGUUAUUUAGUUGACUCGUUCGGCACCUUACGAGAAAUCAAAGUGCUUGG
RNAcentral lists this ribosomal RNA (1014 nucleotides) under Metarhizium guizhouense. Its description in RNAcentral is "SSU rRNA". It matches the Rfam family "Eukaryotic small subunit ribosomal RNA", at positions 87 to 1110 of the family's 1831-position model. Lineage: Eukaryota; Fungi; Ascomycota; Sordariomycetes; Hypocreales; Clavicipitaceae. The record is from RNAcentral.